UAAGACUUUGGGGGUCAGCUCCUGCCUGGUUCUGGAGACAACCCAGGAAACCACAGCAUCACCUGUGGAUUUAAAUGACUCAAACUCCAGCAGCCGCCUCGAGUGCACGUUUUAUUCUCACUCAUCCCUUCUCUGUGCUUGCAGGUUAGGGGCAGUCUGUGGUCUCAGGCCAGCAGCUCUGUGUGUCUGCUCCUGCCAGCAGCUCUCCACUACCCACAGUACUCAGGGCUGUGCAUCAUGUGCAUCACGGCUCCUGCUCACAUCCCGUCUAAAAUGACAGCUGCCUCAUCAGGAACAAGAAGAUCAGGCUCUCAGUAGCUCUCCCUGGCAGACACCAGGCACUCGGCACCACCACUUUCCAGAGCCCAGAACACAGACCAUGCUGAGGGCAGGUAGCAGAGCUGUUGGUCACUAGAGUGAUCCCGAUGCCCAGCUUCACUCUGGAUACCUCCUACACCGUGGAAGAAAAGCCAGGCCACUUCUUCCAGGCUCCACAUGCCAGCUGGCACACCCCUGAUGCCAGCAAAGGGACAGGUGCCGUGCUCCGGCAGGGUUCUGUUGACAUACACACCCCUUCUCUCCCCUGCUCACAGAAUCACCACUGUGUGUGCAUCCGAAACGUCGGGGGAUUCCCUGCACUGACAAUAAAAAUGAUAAUGACAAUUGUCAUUAUUGAGGAGAAGGUAGGCACUUGGACCCUUUCUCUAGGAUGCCACAGAAAGCACUUUAAGGAACAGCCUCAGCUUAGCAGCUGUGGUAUCCUUCAUCCAGACUUGGCCACAAAGGAGAUGAUGCCCAGCCUCUGGCUUGGGGUAGGAAAAGUAUGGGCUCCUCUGGUUGCCACCUGCGUAGCUGCUGAAUGCACCUUCUCUACAUGUGACUGACAUUGAAGCUACAAUCAGAGUUCUUUCCAGCUGUGCUGCUCUGGGCCCCUGGGACUCCUGGUGGUAAGGAAGUAGACUUCCUUGUGAAUGGGUCCUCCUAUUAUGACCCUCCACUGUGUGAUCUCGAUGCCCAGGGGUACAGGAAGCCCAGCUGUGCUCACCUGGAGUGUGGUCAACACAGGACCCCCGAUAGGAAAGGGCUUUUUCACUGCAGGAGACAGGCUGCCCUUUAUAUUUGCAAGCUGCAGGGUAAAGCUUGACUCACCUGCCUGUGCUCUUCACCAAUCCCGGCAGAGCAUGGUACUUGUAAGCAUGUGUUUUUGGUGACAGACUGCCUGGGCCAUGAGCUGCAUGCCCCUGGGUAAGUUAUACAAACUCUGUGGGCCCUAAGUUUCGUGUCUGUAAAUGGGGGCGAUAAUACUACCUCUCCACAGGGCUGCUCUGGUGACUGAACGAGUGAGAAGGGUGCCAUUGCCUGAACAUGGCCAGCGUUCAGAGGUGUCCUGCCGUCUCAUCACCUUCUCCACCCUCCUACAGGCCUUUCAGAAGCCACCCACCAUCUGCCUCUUCCCAUGAGAACUGUGGAUAAGAGUGUAAAGACUCGCAAACGGCAGAAACACAAGUUCUAAGACCCCGUGUUGGCAUAUGCCAUGGAGAGGCACCGCAGCGCUGUGGGACAGCCAGUGGAGGACCCCUGGGAGUAGGAAGCCACUGUGAUUUAGUGGAAAGAAACAGAAUGUCACGCUCAAGUUAAAAGGGUCCAGGACCCUCAUCCACCUCUCGCCACAGUGGAAACGUUGCCAAGAGGCUGAGCCCCAGAGGGAGAGGUCUGUGGUGAUGCUGGGCCAGUGGCUUCCAGGGAGAGGGAGGCUUCUGAGCUGUGCUUGGCAUGUAGUGGAGAGCCACAGCCCAGGGCUUGUGGAGUGGAGGAGGUGGCCGUGGCACUGGGAGAAGCUACUGAGCUCCUGGACAUUUCUAGAACCUAAGUUCCCCAGCCUCUGCCAAUGGAGGCCCAGUUUGCUCUCUAGGAGAGGGCAGGGCAAACCUUCCCAAUGCACCCUCCCUCUGGCCAGGAAAUGCCCAGGGGCUAAAUGAGAAGGGCAGGCCCCUGUAGCCCUCCAGGAAAGGCAGGCAGUGAGCACAGGAAGGGAGGCCAGGCCUGCAAUUCCAGCCAUCACAGAUUAAUGGGAAAUGACUAGAAUUCGCCUUCUCGUGCCCAGGUAGGCACCGACUCUUCCCUUGCCGUGCAGAAUGCUGACCCCCGUCAUUUAUUCAUUUAUUUUCUUGCUCCUUAAAUGAGCUCUGUGAGCCACAGGAUGGGGGCUCUGUCUUACCAGGCUGGCACUCAGACCAUUGUCCAGUGCAUGAGAGGUGCCCGAGUUGGUUUUCCAUUCCUAUAACAAAUACCUGAGGCCGUCAACCCACAACAUGGGGAGAUUCACUUUGGCUCACAGUGUUGAAGGUUCCAGCUCACGGACACUUGGCCCUGUUGCUUUGGGGAGCGUGGAGAGACCGCACAUCAUGGUGGGGAGCAUGUAGAGAUUGGGCUGUCCACCCCGCGGUGGGAAGUGAAAGUGGAAACAGGAAGAGAACAGGGUCCCACAACCCCUCUGAGGGCAGGUCCCAGGGGCCUAUGGCCUCCCACAAGCUCCACCUCCUAAAAGCUCCACCAUUUCCCAAUGUCACUGAGCCGGGGACCCAGCCUUGACACAUCGGUCUUUGUGGGACACACCAGAUCCAAACUACGGUGCUCAACAGAUAUUGAACAGGUAACAAAAUGAGAACCAUAACUGGUAGUGAGAAGCCUGGCUUAGAGUUCAGAUGUUUUCAGGAGGGAGGGAGAGAAGGGGGAAUGUGCCCCUAAGCCAGGUUCCACGCAGCCAAGGGCUGCAGUCAGUUGGUGACACAGGUCCAGUGGCAGGAAUGCUGAGUUUCGUGCUGUGACUAGACAAUGUGGUCCCUCCAGUCCUCAGGCACAAGGCUUGGUUCUUUAAGUGGACCUCACUGGGAAGGGAUAAGACAAUAUGACCCAUUUCAUUCCCCUCCCUUAAUCCACAAUGCAUCGUGUCCUGUAGCAAUGGACCCCGCCUCGUCCACAGUCAAAGUGGACGCGUAGACCACAGUGGUCAUUCAGCCUUGCUCUCUGCAGCCUGAACACUUGGAAUUUCAAAGCAGCUGCUGCUAUAGAAUUUUCUAGAAGUCCACGUUGGCUGGAGUGGGUUGUGCCCCUGGCUCCUUGUGCAUCAAUGCUAACGGCAGGGUGCCGGCCGCUGGGCUGCCACUCACCUCAGGUCUUGCCUGUCUGCCUUUUGGGAGUGUUGGAGAGCCAGCCUCACACUAGUGUUCAAUUAAGUGAAAUUAGAUUUUGCAAGAUGGAAGUUUCUUCCCCUUGCUCCAUCCAGGAAGAAUCGAUCUAAUUAUCACGUCCAUGCUCCCAGGACUCUUGUUUAAAUCUCUCCUCCCUGUUUCAGUUGAACGCAUUGGUGCUGCAGAUGUGUCUUUAGUUAAUGGAGGUUGGAGCGGUUUGCAAGUCCUGCUGGGGGUGAGCCACAUGUGCGACGACCCCAGAGUGGGUGUGCCUCUUGCUUUUCCUGCUUGAUCAGGCCCAACCCAGUCGGCCAGCCACUCCUUAGGGACCUAAGCCCUCUUGGGGUGCUGGUUCCCACCCUCUGCUCCUAUGCAAAGACCACCAAGGCACUGGGGACUCACGGCACCAGGAAAGUUGAGCUCCUUUCCCACCUGUGGCUGGCUGGAGGACGGGGUGGUAGAGGGUGGGAGCCUGCAGGAAGGUACCUGAAAGGCCUCUUUCUAGCUGAGUGGCAGUAGGCUCUGCCCAUCCUGGUUCUGAUCUCCACGAUGGGAGAUGAGCUCGUUCUACUGUCUGCAGGGCAGUCUCUCCCCAGUGUGCCCUUCCCCCAGGCAGCCAUCUCAUGGCCUCUCAAUCAGCCACGGCCCUUUAUUUCCUGUAAUUCUGGUGCUUUGACAUCUUGGGGUUUGCUGCCUCAGAAGGGACUACACUUCCCAGGGCAGGCCAUCCCUAGAGGGAGUGAGAAGUAUGCAGGAACCUCUCCAUGAGCGUCCAUCCGACCUGCCUGAGCGUGUGUGGCUCUCACUCUGUCUCUUCCUUCAUCACUCAGGGACAGACCCUAGAGAACUUGGGACAGCACUCGACCCCCCAGUCCAAUGGAGUUAUCCAAAUCAGCCAUUCCAAACUUAAGGGCCCAGCCACAUCCACUCCUCCUCAAGACCCACUGCGAAAGGUCCUGCCCACAGUCCCCCCAGUUGCUGCUGUCGACUGAGCAGACCUGGAGCUUCCCCUGCAGCCCUGUGGCAGGGCAUGCCCACGCCUCUUGGGAACUGAGUGACCAACCAUCUUUCCAACAGCAGCCUCCUGGCCUGGUGACUUCACCGUACCUCAAUAACAACCACACUGCAUUUUAAAACAGCCUCCUGGCCCCCUCGGGGUAGAGGCCGCUCACUGCUCCUGGCUGGAGGAAAGCCAUCUUGUCUGGCCAGGGGCAGCAGGUGGCAGAGCUGAGCCCAAUCUACAUUCUCUCCCAGCUGGCCUCGAGGAGGAAGCCUUGCACUGACAGGAGCUCCUGUCCCAACUUUGGGGACCUCUGUCUCCUAAAUAGAAUUGAAAUAAACUAUGCAUCUUCAGAACCACGGAGAGGUAUUCCUGGGGCACACGCUGCGUGUGAGGAUAGAAAGUGGCUUGGAGGGUGACAAAAAGGAAUAUGCAUUUCCCAUUCGUUUCCAGAAACGUCUGUGAGAGUCCUGCAGUCCUGCCCUGCAGCCACAGCUGGUAGCUGUUGGAGCUAUUCCCGCCCUUGCUGGAUCAUGGCCCCCAUGCGAGCUGACAGUCCAGGGAAGCUCCUCAGAAUGGAGAUGCUGUGUGGAUAAAAGAGGAGAGAGUCCUAUGAAGGAAACUGAUCAUAUUGAAGUAUAAUUUAAAAAUAUUUUAAAACAAAUAUUAAUUUGUCAGUGAAGCACUUCUCUAUUAAUUCUUCAAUAACAUGAUAUGGCGGGGGGGUCUCAGAAACCACGGUGUUGCAGCUGUGAUGAGCCUGGAUAUAGAUGCUUCGCAAUUCCUGCUGCGGUUAUAACUUACCUGGAAAGAUCUGUGGUUUCCACUGCCCCGGGCACUGUUAAUACACUGGGGUUUGUCGCAUGUGGAGCCAGCCCUCUGUGCCCAUGGGUUCCAGACAGCAGUGAAAAUUUAAAACUCAUGUUCAUACUGAAAGCGCAGGCUUUUUUCUUUUGUCACUGUUCCCUAAGAAGUAAGCCUGACCAUCAUUUAUACGGCGUUUACGGUGUACUGAGUACUGUACAGACACCAGAGGUGAUUUGAAGUGUAUGGGAGGGUGUUUGUAGGUGACACAAACAUUACAACAUUUCAUAUAAAGGACUUGAGUCUCCGUGGGUUUUGAUAUCCGUCAGGGAAAGGUAUCCUGGAACCAGUUCCCCCCCCAUGCUGAGGGACCACGGCAUUCAUCACUGAAGGACACGCGGUAUUGCAAAUGAGGUCACCAAACAGAAGAUGUCAUUUCCUACCUAGUUCAAGCUUGCAAGUGCCCUGAAUCCUGCCCCACCUGUGGCCUGCAGGAGAUGCCUUCUACAGCUUUGAAAAUCAGCAGCCGCUGGGCGAGUCCUUCUCCCCAGCCAAGUGUGCCCAGGCCACAGGGGUCUGGCUAUGGCUCAGAGGCCUCCCUGAGCUGAGAAGUUAGGCCAACACACCAUGUCCUUGUUUGCAAGUGGCCCUCUCUGCCCUCUCACCCAGAGGGGAAAACCGGGUUCUUCCUUGGUAAGCAUGGGCACCGAGGUCCCAUCAACUCACCUGGGGUGGAGCAAGGCCAGCUCAGUGAACUCUGGCCAGAUUCACUGACUCUGUUCCACAGAAACGGGAAGCUGUGGCAGUUCUGGCCCCCUCUUUCCAGUGACAGGUGGAUCUUAUGAACCCUGGAGACCUCUCCAGGUACCAUGAUUUGAUUGUGUCAUCUCUGGGCAGGGCACAUGGCAGCUCGAACAUGACGAAUCACCUGUUUUGGUCACAGGGAGUUUUGGAUGUCCGUGGCUGUUUGGAUUGAGGUGUCCUCCAAGAGCUCGUGUGUGAGACACUGCAAGAAAAUUUAAAGGUGAAGUGAUUAUCUUAUCAGAGAUGCAACCUACCAGCACAUUGAUAGGGAUGACCUGAGUGGUAAUUAGGCAGGUAGGGUGUGGCUGCAGGAGGUGGGUUCCUUUGGGGUAUAUUUUGUCCCUGAUGAGCAGAGCUUAGUCUCUCUCUCUCUCUCUCUGCGUCCUUGUGCGUGUCCUGAGCCACUUUCCUCCACCACUUCCUUCUGCCUGAGGUUCUUCUGCGGCACCAUGGCCCAGAGCAGUGGAGUCACGUCUAUGCAGAGAAACCAAACCCCCCUCCACGUCGGCAUGUGGCAGCAGACUGCAGGGCUCUCACCUCAGCAGCUCCAAGUGUGGGCCUCUCCGUGAGCCCAGACUGCCCUGCUCUCUGCCCACGCUGUGUGCUGCAAGCCGAGUGGCAGGUGGCUGGGGUGAGACAUGUGAAGCUCACCAGGCAGAGGGUUUGCUGGUUUGCGGGGUGUGGGAAGCCAUUCUUGCACGUGAUUGGGCACCUCCCUGAUUGGGUGUGAGGCUUCUGGCUAAACUGUGUUGGAACUAAUCCCCACCCUCUUUAGGUGCGAGAGCCCAUCUGUGUGGGGGUGUGACUGACCAUUGACCCUGAGACCAAUCACUGACCCUGACCUUGGAAUGCUGUCCCCCUCGACCUUCAUUGAAUGGAAUUUUCCCCUGAAUUUCUUAUUCCCCAAUAAAAGGCCACUCCCUGGCGUGCUCUCUCUCUCUCUCCUGCUAGUCUGUGUAAACCUCCUUGCCCCACCAGGUGGCUCGAGGCAGGAGCCAGAGGGGGAGCCGUCUCAGACCUGGUCAAAGAAAAAGGUAAAUUGAGUUUUG
This 6848-nucleotide long non-coding RNA is filed under the name Marmota monax (woodchuck). Lineage: Eukaryota; Metazoa; Chordata; Mammalia; Rodentia; Sciuridae. The record is from RNAcentral.